Long non-coding RNA from Oncorhynchus gorbuscha (pink salmon), 252 nucleotides. RefSeq lists it as uncharacterized. NCBI's taxonomy places the organism in Eukaryota, Metazoa, Chordata, Actinopteri, Salmoniformes, Salmonidae. The record is from RefSeq and is a predicted model, not a curated record. The transcript is spliced from 3 exons.
CAAUGCAAUUGGGAUCAACAAGAAGGACUGGAGACCACAGCAGCGAUCCUGCUCUUGGGUUCUUAUGGACGUGGUACCGAAGUGGGGACCACAAUCAGCGGAAAUGUUCAAGAGCGCCACCCAUAGAGAUUUCACCGCUCUUCACUACUUUAUUGCACAUCGUUGGAAAUCCAUUUCACCAGCAGAGUGAAAUCCCGCUGGCCUGUGAUGGGGAGAACAUCCACACCCUCGAGGACGUCCCCAUGGGACUUU